Molecule: ribosomal RNA, 492 nt
Filed under: uncultured bacterium
Lineage: Bacteria
Description: partial 16S ribosomal RNA
Rfam family: Bacterial small subunit ribosomal RNA
Source: RNAcentral
GGUGAACGCUGGCGGUGGGCCUAACACAUGCAAGUCGAACGGCAGCACAGUAAGAGCUUGCUCUUACGGGUGGCGAGUGGCGGACGGGUGAGGAAUACAUCGGAAUCUUCUUUUUCGUGGGGGAUAACGUAGGGAAACUUACGCUAAUACCGCAUACGACCUACGGGUGAAAGCAGGGGAUCUUCGGACCUUGCGCGACUGAAUGAGCCGAUGUCGGAUUAGCUAGUUGGCGGGGUAAAGGCCCACCAAGGCGACGAUCCGUAGCUGGUCUGAGAGGAUGAUCAGCCACACUGGAACUGAGACACGGUCCAGACUCCUACGGGAGGCAGCAGUGGGGAAUAUUGGACAAUGGGCGCAAGCCUGAUCCAGCCAUACCGCGUGAGUGAAGAAGGCCUUCGGGUUGUAAAGCCCUUUUGUUGGGAAAGAAAAGCAGCAGGAUAAUACCCCGCUGUUCUGACGGUACCCAAAGAAUAAGCACCGGCUAACUUCGUG